RNAcentral lists this ribosomal RNA (434 nucleotides) under uncultured bacterium. RNAcentral describes it as "partial 16S ribosomal RNA". It matches the Rfam family "Bacterial small subunit ribosomal RNA", at positions 29 to 507 of the family's 1533-position model. The record is from RNAcentral.
AGCGAACGCUGGCGGCAGGCCUAACACAUGCAAGUCGAACGAACCUUUCGGGGUUAGUGGCGGACGGGUGAGUAACACGUGGGAACGUUCCUUUAGGUUCGGAAUAACUCAGGGAAACUUGUGCUAAUACCGAAUGUGCCCUUCUGGGGAAAGAUUUAUCGCCUUUAGAGCGGCCCGCGUCUGAUUAGCUAGUUGGUUGAGGUAAUGGCUCACCAAGGCGACGAUCAGUAGCUGGUCUGAGAGGAUGAUCAGCCACAUUGGGACUGAGACACGGCCCAAACUCCUACGGGAGGAAGCAGUGGGGAAUCUUGCGCAAUGGGCGAAAGCCUGACGCAGCCAUGACGCGUGAAUGAUGAAGGUCUUAGGAUUGUAAAAUUCUUUUACCGGGGACGAUAAUGACGGUACCCGGAGAAGAAGCCCCGGCUAACUUCGUG